CCUACGGGAGGCAGCAGUGGGGAAUUUUGGACAAUGGGCGCAAGCCUGAUCCAGCCAUGCCGCGUGUGGGAAGAAGGCCUUCGGGUUGUAAACCACUUUUGUCAGGGAAGAAACGGUUUGUCCUAAUACGGCGGACUAAUGACGGUACCUGAAGAAUAAGCACCGGCUAACUACGUGCCAGCAGCCGCGGUAAUACGUAGGGUGCAAGCGUUAAUCGGAAUUACUGGGCGUAAAGCGUGCGCAGGCGGCUUUGCAAGACAGAUGUGAAAUCCCCGGGCUCAACCUGGGAACUGCAUUUGUGACUGCAUGGCUAGAGUACGGUAGAGGGGGAUGGAAUUCCGCGUGUAGCAGUGAAAUGCGUAGAUAUGCGGAGGAACACCGAUGGCGAAGGCAAUCCCCUGGACCUGUACUGACGCUCAUGCACGAAAGCGUGGGGAGCAAACAGGAUUAGAUACCCUGGUAGUCCACGCCCUAAACGAUGUCAACUGGUUGUUGGACGGCUUGCUGUUCAGUAACGAAGCUAACGCGUGAAGUUGACCGCCUGGGGAGUACGGCCGCAAGGUUGAAAACUCAAAAGAGUAAGUUAGGACGGNGNGAGAGACGACGACGACGACGACGGAGGGAGGAGG
RNAcentral lists this ribosomal RNA (629 nucleotides) under uncultured bacterium. RNAcentral describes it as "bacterial SSU rRNA". It matches the Rfam family "Bacterial small subunit ribosomal RNA", at positions 338 to 1533 of the family's 1533-position model. The record is from RNAcentral.